This 647-nucleotide ribosomal RNA is filed under the name uncultured Actinomycetes bacterium. RNAcentral describes it as "bacterial SSU rRNA". It matches the Rfam family "Bacterial small subunit ribosomal RNA", at positions 232 to 885 of the family's 1533-position model. The record is from RNAcentral. Lineage: Bacteria; Bacillati; Actinomycetota; Actinomycetes.
CGCGGCCUAUCAGCUUGUUGGUGGGGUAAUGGCCUACCAAGGCGACGACGGGUAGCCGGCCUGAGAGGGUGACCGGCCACACUGGGACUGAGACACGGCCCAGACUCCUACGGGAGGCAGCAGUGGGGAAUAUUGCACAAUGGGCGCAAGCCUGAUGCAGCGACGCCGCGUGAGGGAUGACGGCCUUCGGGUUGUAAACCUCUUUCAGUAGGGAAGAAGCCUUUCGGGGUGACGGUACUUGCAGAAGAAGCGUCGGCUAACUACGUGCCAGCAGCCGCGGUAAUACGUAGGGCGCAAGCGUUAUCCGGAAUUAUUGGGCGUAAAGAGCUCGUAGGCGGUUUGUCGCGUCUGCUGUGAAAGACCGGGGCUCAACUCCGGUUCUGCAGUGGGUACGGGCAGACUAGAGUGCAGUAGGGGAGACUGGAAUUCCUGGUGUAGCGGUGAAAUGCGCAGAUAUCAGGAGGAACACCGAUGGCGAAGGCAGGUCUCUGGGCUGUAACUGACGCUGAGGAGCGAAAGCAUGGGGAGCGAACAGGAUUAGAUACCCUGGUAGUCCAUGCCGUAAACGUUGGGCACUAGGUGUGGGGGACAUUCCACGUUUUCCGCGCCGUAGCUAACGCAUUAAGUGCCCCGCCUGGGGAGUACGG